This 460-nucleotide ribosomal RNA is filed under the name uncultured bacterium. RNAcentral describes it as "partial 16S ribosomal RNA". It matches the Rfam family "Bacterial small subunit ribosomal RNA", at positions 338 to 795 of the family's 1533-position model. The record is from RNAcentral.
CCUACGGGUGGCAGCAGUGGGGAAUAUUGCGCAAUGGGCGCGAGCCUGAACCAGCAACGCCGCGUGAAUGAUGACUGCCCUACGGGUUGUAAACUUCUUUUAUAAAGGAGUAAAGUGAGGCACGUAUGCCUUUUUGUCUGGACUUUAUGAAUAAGGAUCGGCUAACUCCGUGCCAGCCGCCGCGGUAAUACGGAGGAUCCGAGCGUUAUCCGGAUUUAUUGGGUUUAAAGGGAGCGUAGAUGGGUUGUUAAGUCAGUUGUGAAAGUUUGCGGCUCAACCGUAAAAUUGCAAUUGAUACUGGCAGCCUUGAGUACAGUUGAGGGAGGCGGAAUUCGUGGUGUAGCGGUGAAAUGCUUAGAUAUCACGAAGAACUCCGAUUGCGAAGGCAGCUUACUAAACUGCCACUGACAUUGAUGCUCGAAAGUGUGGGUAUCAAACAGGAUUAGAUACCCGAGUAGUC